RNAcentral lists this long non-coding RNA (193 nucleotides) under Mustela putorius furo (domestic ferret). Its description in RNAcentral is "lncRNA (ENSMPUG00000029265.1)". Lineage: Eukaryota; Metazoa; Chordata; Mammalia; Carnivora; Mustelidae. The record is from RNAcentral.
GCAUCAAACAAAUACUGUACAGCAGUGUAUUCACCAGGGUCACCCAUGGCUCAAGGAUGGGUCAUAGGAAGCUUCUGGGAAGUCAGCAGAGGAGAGCUGUGCAUGGAUUGAUUCUGAGGAAGAUCCUGAGGAAAGCAGGUACCAUCUUUCAGCUGAUUUUCACACUACUAGCAAGGGAUGAUUUGGUGGCAAA